RNAcentral lists this transfer RNA (76 nucleotides) under Candidatus Improbicoccus pseudotrichonymphae. RNAcentral's name for it is "tRNA-Thr". It matches the Rfam family "tRNA". Rfam says of the family: Transfer RNA (tRNA) molecules are approximately 80 nucleotides in length. Their secondary structure includes four short double-helical elements and three loops (D, anti-codon, and T loops). The record is from RNAcentral. Lineage: Bacteria; Bacillati; Bacillota; Clostridia.
GCUGGUGUAGCUCAGUAGGUAGAGCAGCUGAUUCGUAAUCAGCAGGCCGACGGUUCGAAUCCGCCCAUCAGCUCCA